AUACGUUUACAAGUCUCCACCGCC
This 24-nucleotide non-coding RNA is filed under the name Arabidopsis thaliana (thale cress). The record is from RNAcentral. Lineage: Eukaryota; Viridiplantae; Streptophyta; Magnoliopsida; Brassicales; Brassicaceae.